This 370-nucleotide long non-coding RNA is filed under the name Centruroides sculpturatus (bark scorpion). Its description in RNAcentral is "uncharacterized LOC111635582, transcript variant X2". Lineage: Eukaryota; Metazoa; Arthropoda; Arachnida; Scorpiones; Buthidae. The record is from RNAcentral.
CUUAAUGAUACAUCGCAUUUCAAACAAAAGAUUCAGGAAAGUACAGAAAACGUAUGGAUUCAAUGGAUUAGUGUUUGUUUGCUGGCGCAUAUUUCUUCUUUUAAUAUGUCAAGAUAGUUGUACGACGACUUUGCAUUCAUCUACAGACUUUCUCCUGCCGAUUUGCCAUUGGAAUUUAAACUGAAGAUGAAUUGCUACAUGAAGCGAUUUGGAAAAAUUCCAUUAGGCAUAUCUCUUGGUGGUUUCUUCUAUAUAAAAGAAGAUUUUUUCAUCAAGGUUAGUACAAUAUAUGACAUUUUUUAAACAGUACAGUAAUCUUAAAUCGUAGGGGGGUGUUGAGGUAGCUUAAAAUCACUUUGUAGUUACCUCA